GAUGAACGCUGGCGGCGUGCCUAAUACGUGCAAGUCGAACGAGUUCUUCGGAACUAGUGGCGGACGGGUGAGUAACACGUUGGUACCUACCCCGAAGUGGGGAAUAACUGGCCGAAAGGUCGGCUAAUACCGCAUAAUACCGUAAGGUUAAAGCAGUAAUGCGCUUCGGGAGGGGCCUGCGUCUGAUUAGCUAGUUGGAAGUGUAAUGGACUACCAAGGCGACGAUCAGUAGCUGGAUCGAGAGGUUGACCAGCCACACUGGGACUGAGAUACGGCCCAGACUCCUACGGGAGGCAGCAGUAAGGAAUCUUCCACAAUGGACGAAAGUCUGAUGGAGCAACGCCGCGUGCAGGAUGACGGCCUUCGGGUUGUAAACUGCUUUUAUAUGGGAAGAUUAUGACGGUACCAUAUGAAUAAGGACCGGCUAACUACGUGCCAGCCGCCGCGGUAA
This 451-nucleotide ribosomal RNA is filed under the name uncultured bacterium. Its description in RNAcentral is "partial 16S ribosomal RNA". It matches the Rfam family "Bacterial small subunit ribosomal RNA", at positions 28 to 523 of the family's 1533-position model. The record is from RNAcentral.